CUUCAAAUCCUUGGUUCGAUUCCAAGUACUCUUGAUGAAAACAAAAAUAAAAAUAUUUUUUAAAUUCCCA
This 70-nucleotide transfer RNA is filed under the name Purpureocillium takamizusanense. RNAcentral describes it as "tRNA-Gly". Lineage: Eukaryota; Fungi; Ascomycota; Sordariomycetes; Hypocreales; Ophiocordycipitaceae. The record is from RNAcentral.